RNAcentral lists this ribosomal RNA (343 nucleotides) under Salmonella enterica subsp. enterica. RNAcentral describes it as "bacterial SSU rRNA". It matches the Rfam family "Bacterial small subunit ribosomal RNA", at positions 108 to 454 of the family's 1533-position model. The record is from RNAcentral. Lineage: Bacteria; Pseudomonadati; Pseudomonadota; Gammaproteobacteria; Enterobacterales; Enterobacteriaceae.
GAGUAAUGUCUGGGAAACUGCCUGAUGGAGGGGGAUAACUACUGGAAACGGUGGCUAAUACCGCAUAACGUCGCAAGACCAAAGAGGGGGACCUUCGGGCCUCUUGCCAUCAGAUGUGCCCAGAUGGGAUUAGCUUGUUGGUGAGGUAACGGCUCACCAAGGCGACGAUCCCUAGCUGGUCUGAGAGGAUGACCAGCCACACUGGAACUGAGACACGGUCCAGACUCCUACGGGAGGCAGCAGUGGGGAAUAUUGCACAAUGGGCGCAAGCCUGAUGCAGCCAUGCCGCGUGUAUGAAGAAGGCCUUCGGGUUGUAAAGUACUUUCAGCGGGGAGGAAGGUGU